UACGUAGGGGGCGAGCGUUUGUCCGGAAUCAUUGGGCGUAAAGCGCGUGUAGGCGGCUCGGUAAGUCCGGUGUGAAACCUUGGGGGCUCAACCCCAAGCCUGCACUGGAUACUGUCGGGCUAGAGUCCGGAAGAGGCGAGUGGAAUUCCUGGUGUAGCGGUGAAAUGCGCAGAUAUCAGGAAGAACACCAAUGGCGAAAGCAGCUUUCUGGGACGGUACUGACGCUGAGACGCGAAAGCGUGGGGAGCGAACAGG
Molecule: ribosomal RNA, 255 nt
Filed under: uncultured bacterium
Lineage: Bacteria
Description: partial 16S ribosomal RNA
Rfam family: Bacterial small subunit ribosomal RNA
Source: RNAcentral